AACCAAAAAGAAAAAGGGGGUCUCUCUUUCUUUCUUUCCCGCCAUUUCAAUGAAUCUGCUGACUUCUCCGCGGCUGAUACAAAUACCGUAAGAACACACACAUACGCACAGAGAAAUCAUUUCUCUGCUCCACAAAAAUGGAGUUUAGCCUGAGUGGGAACGCCCUAAAAACCUUCGCAAGGUGCAUCACUUGCCUCGCACGCAUUGGCAACGAGCUCGCCAUUCAAGCCUCUCCUUCGCAGCUUGCUUGCCACACACUCAACUCAUCGAGAUCUGCAUAUCAGUCUAUUACAUUCAAACCUGAUUUUUUUGAUGCCUAUACAAUCUCCGGUACACAAGUGCAAUGUAGUGUGCUUUUGAAGGCCAUUUGUUCUGUUCUUAGGACACCUCUUACAAGUGUCGAUCAUUUAAGUGUGUUGUUGCCUGAUCGCGAUGCAUCAAAAGUGCAGUGGACUUUAGACUGCUUUAAUGGUGUAAGGAAAGCCUAUUGGAUUACUUGCAACGUUGAACCCGACAUACAAUACCUUUCUCUUGAUAGGAGUAAGAUUCCGAGCAGCUUUGUGGUGAGACCUCGUGAUCUGAACAGAUUGCUGGGUAAUUUCCAGUCAAACCUUCAGGAGAUAACUAUUAUUGCAACAGAACCCACAUCCUCACCUUCUGAUGCGGCAAGUGAAAUUGGAGGGAAAGCUGUUGAACUAAGAAGUUACAUAGACCCAACCAAAGAGAAUGAAUCAUCGCUACACACUCAGCUAUGGAUAGAUCCAACUGAAGAGUUUGUGCAAUAUACUCACACUGGGGACCCUGUUGAUGUUACAUUCGGUGUGAAGGAAUUGAAGGCGUUUUUCUCUUUUUGUGAAGGUUGUGAAGUUGACAUCCAUCUAUUUUUUGAGAAGGCUGGCGAGCCUAUUCUAAUGGCACCAAAAUUCGGUCUAGAUGAUGGCUCCACUUCAAACUUCGAUACUACGCUUGUUCUUGCAACAAUGCUUACAUCGCAGCUGCAUGAAGGAAAUACCUCAGAACCUCCACCUCCCGCUGCUACAAUGCAUGGCCAAGCUGGUCAUGGAACAGGGUCCCAAGCAAAAGAGAGACCAAGAGGGAGUGUGUCCGAUCAUCCAUCUGAUCACACCAGAAUUUGGUCAGAUAUCUCAGGAAGUGGGGCCAAAAGUGGUAAUGGUGUGGAAGAAAGGCAUGCUGAAGGGGGCAGGAAUCCAGUUAAUGAACGGGUGGAGAUUCAGAGGAUUAGUGAAAUGCAUAUUUCUAAUGCUCAGCCCGCCAUGGGAAAUGUGGCAGGUGUUCCUAAUUCCUGCCAUACGAUGGAAACAGAUCGUGCACAAGAACCUCAAGAAAGGGCAGACAUAGCCGGUCAUGGUUUAUCACAACACCAUCCUAGUAACUGGGUAGAUGCUGGAGAGGAGGAAGAUGAAGGGGACGAGGCUGAACUGUGUGUCCAGUCAACGCCACCCUACAAUGAAGAAUGAUAUGGAUCAUAACUAUUUCUUGGUCCAAAGCAAGGAUGACUGCUAUAUUCUGUUUUAGUUCGUGCCCUGUGCAAAGUUACUUAAUGGCUCUGGAUGGUUACCGGAUGACCUUAAACAACCCAAACAACCAAUUAUGCACUGGUGCUAUGGAGCAAGAGGAAGCUGGAAAGUUUAUUUGUAUCAACGCUAGAAUACUUAGUCAGUUAGAUUUUAGCUUAAUAUUUAGUGUGACAACCACCCAAGUGACUUUCCUGGACUUCUCCGAAGAGAAAUGCGGGCAGUGUGGGGGUUGAGGUAUUCUUAUGAAGAUAAUGAACCAGGAAGAAUUGAGAUACUAGUUGAAAAUGGGUGGGUAUAAAUUGUUUAAAUGAA
Molecule: RNA transcript, 1850 nt
Organism: Rhododendron vialii
Lineage: Eukaryota; Viridiplantae; Streptophyta; Magnoliopsida; Ericales; Ericaceae
Exons: 11
Source: RefSeq, a predicted model, not a curated record